UGUAGAAUGCAUGAAUGAAAGGGCC
This 25-nucleotide non-coding RNA is filed under the name Mus musculus (house mouse). Lineage: Eukaryota; Metazoa; Chordata; Mammalia; Rodentia; Muridae. The record is from RNAcentral.